GGCCUUGACAUACUAAGAACUUUCCAGAGAUUGGAUUGGUGGCCUUCGGGAACUUAGAUACAGGUGCUGCAUGGCUGUCGUCAGCUCGUGUCGUGAGAUGUUGGGUUAAGUCCCGNAACGAGCGCAACCCUUUUCCUUAUUUGCCAGCGGGUCAUGCCGGGAACUUUAAGGAUACUGCCAGUGACAAACUGGAGGAAGGCGGGGACGACGUCAAGUCAUCAUGGCCCUUACGGCCAGGGCUACACACGUGCUACAAUGGUCGGUACAAAGGGUUGCUACCUCGCGAGAGGAUGCUAAUCUCAAAAAGCCGAUCGUAGUCCGGAUCGCAGUCUGCAACUCGACUGCGUGAAGUCGGAAUCGCUAGUAAUCGCGGAUCAGAAUGCCGCGGUGAAUACGUUCCCGGGCCUUGUACACACCGCCCGUCACACCAUGGGAGUUUGUUGCACCAGAAGUAGGUAGUCUAACCGCAAGGAGGACGCUUACCACGGUGUGGCCGAUGACUGGGGUGAAGUCGUAACAAGGUAAGCGUAGAUGA
This 535-nucleotide ribosomal RNA is filed under the name uncultured bacterium. RNAcentral describes it as "bacterial SSU rRNA". It matches the Rfam family "Bacterial small subunit ribosomal RNA", at positions 977 to 1509 of the family's 1533-position model. The record is from RNAcentral.